Molecule: long non-coding RNA, 2341 nt
Organism: Girardinichthys multiradiatus
Lineage: Eukaryota; Metazoa; Chordata; Actinopteri; Cyprinodontiformes; Goodeidae
Exons: 3
Source: RefSeq, a predicted model, not a curated record
AUAAACUACUAAAAGAACUUAGAGAAAUUCCAAACUAAUAAAAAACACAAGACCACAACAAACAAAACCAAAGAUGUCGCUUCACGACAAAAAGGAAAAAUCACUUAUCUUCCAACAUUGUUUUAGGACAGCACCCCCUUAACAGGGCCAUUUUCUGGGUUAGGUUUCUUCCCUACUAUGGAAAUGUAAACUAUAUUAAUUCUGGAAAAGUUUCUUCCAGUCAAUACAAACAUUUUAUAAAUAUUUCUACACUUGUCGAAGAACUCAGAGACAGGAACAUGGGGCUGGUCCACCUGGACACCUUUGCAGGAGCACUCAGGGAUAGGAACAUGAGGCGCAUCCACCUGGACACCCUUGUCAAAGAACUCAAGGACAGGAACGUGAGACGGUUCUACCUGGACACCUUCGUCGGAGACCUCAGGAACUGGAUCACAAGCCAGCUGCACCAGCUUGGGCGAGGAGUGGGCACUGGCGCUCCGACUCAGCUUGAUACAGGCUCUGGUGCUCAGAAGCUGCAGGCAGCAGGCACAGGGACAUUGAGGUGGCGGGAAGCAGGCUCUGAGAAUGCAAAGACUAAUCCUCUGCCACUGACUGCACAGCCAAAUUGGUAGAAUCAUCCACUCACAGCACAGCCAAAUGGGAAGGAUCGUCCACUGAAAGCCCACGCUGGAGCUGGGGAAAUGGAUGUGGGCGUGCUGAUGCAGAUCCACACCAACCCUCGAGGAAGGAGUGCAAGGAGUUGGAUUCAGAGGAUGCCAGCAGGGUUUUCUGUUCCGGCUUCACUUGUUUCAAGUGGUGGUCUGCUCUGACGGAGCGGACAGGUGCUGUAGCGCCGCAAGCCGGUUCCCAGAGGAAAAAUCGCCACUCUUGAGCCCCAGAAAGGCGAUCGGUGCUCCGACUCAUCCUCAGCCCAUGUUCUUCUCCGCCUGCCAUCUGAAGUAAUCAAAAAGAGUGAUUACCUCCAUCCCUGUUGCUUGGUCCAUUUUCUGGUUGGGUUCUUCUGUCAUAAUUUAAGUUUGUUGAGGACCAAAGUGUCAACAGGACACCAGCAGGCACAUGGUGGAUGGAUUUAUUUUAAUGGAAAGGAUGAUAACUUACAGGGAUGAAGGAAACACAGGAGCCAGGGAGACAGCAACAGAGAACCCAACAAGAACUGCACGGAAAACAGGUCUAUCAAACCAAAGGUUCCAGAAACAACAUGGGACCUUGACUCCAAGGAAAAGAAAUGAGAGACAAAGCUUCUACAAGAAUGAACAGAGAAGGAAGGAGGACAGGCUUUACUCUGGUUAACACUGAGCUGAUGUGCAGUGAGACAGAAGUGGAGAAAAUAGAGGUUGCUGUCUAAGACAAUAUCUCUUCCUUCCCUUGGUUCUGUUUUUCUCUCAAUCUGAGCAGGGUCUAAAUAAUUUAAGGCUGUACAGUACAGCCGGUGAUAAAGUCAACCAAACAGCAGAAGCCCUGACAGAGACAUGAGGAGAGGACAAGAAACACCCUCAUUCAAUAUUUGACUCUCCGUGAUAAGAAGGACACACUGUGCUCACAUUCUGCAAAAAGAGGAGAAUUUCACAAGAUUUGUGUGCCAGAAAAUGCAGUUUUACUGUAAAACAUCUACUAUCGCUUCAGAAAGGCUUUUUGAUGUGAAUGUCUUCUGGUUUGUAAAGGAAGAUAUUGCGGUAAUACUUCUAAGCAUCAUUUGCAUUUUACUGUAUAUGAGGUUAAAUAGAUGGAGCAAUUCCUUGUCAGUUGUUUGUCAUUAUUUGAAGGUUUGUAGAGGAUCCUCUUUACAUCAAUCCUAACUUAAAGAUAAAGAAUGUGCAUUUUGUGUUAAGAAUUGUAAUUUGUCAUGAUAACAACAAAGUCUAAUGAUGUUUGCAAACCACAGCAUGGCUGGGAUUGUUACUUUCCUCAUGGGAAGUAUUUUUCCUCACUGCUGGUUCCCUCACAGCAUCAAUAAUAAUCAAUGCAUAGUGGCUCUAAAAAAAAAAAAAAAUUCAAAUAAAGCAUUGCAAUGACUUUGUGGCAAUGUGUACACUCUUGGUAUAAUACCUUCUUUAAGCGCUGUUUGAUUCUGUUUUAGCUUCACACCAUUAUAGUGAAUCUGAUGAUGAGUAUGAAAUAAAGUCCAUCUGUCCAUAGGGUUGUUCUGACAUUUGCUUAUUUGCAUCAUUCAGCUGAGGGGAAUUUGCCAAAUAAAAGAUCAAAAGGCUUACCAUUGUGCAUAAGUAUUUAGCGACAGGUGGGCCUGUCCAUCAAGGGCGACAUAUAGCACAGACAGCCAUACAUGCCUGGUUUUGGACUCUGGGAGGAAGCUGGAGUACCCAGAGAGAACCCCUGGUGCAAA